UCAGGCGGUCGGGCGACCGCUCUCCGUUCGCGGAGGGAGGAAAGUCCGGGCUCCACGGAGACACGGUGCCGGCUAACGGCCGGCGAGGGUGACCUCAGGGACAGUGCCACAGAAAGCAAACCGCCCCGGUUCCGACCGGGGUAAGGGUGAAAGGGUGGGGUAAGAGCCCACCGCGGGGCUGGCAACAGCACCGGCACGGUAAACCCCACCGGGAGCAAGACCAUAUAGGGACGACCGUCGCAGCCUGCGUAUGCGGGUAUGCAACAGGCCCUGUCUUCGGGUCGUCGUCCGGGUCGGUCGCACCGAGGCAGACGGGCAACCGCUGCCCCAGAUGAAUGGUCGCCAUCCCACGAUUUCCCAUCCCAUGGGAUUUUUUGGGACACAGAACCCGGCUUACAGACCGCCUGACCCU
RNAcentral lists this RNase P RNA (412 nucleotides) under Alphaproteobacteria bacterium. RNAcentral's name for it is "RNase P RNA component class A". It matches the Rfam family "Bacterial RNase P class A". Rfam says of the family: Ribonuclease P (RNase P) is a ubiquitous endoribonuclease, found in archaea, bacteria and eukarya as well as chloroplasts and mitochondria. Its best characterised activity is the generation of mature 5'-ends of tRNAs by cleaving the 5'-leader elements of precursor-tRNAs. Lineage: Bacteria; Pseudomonadati; Pseudomonadota; Alphaproteobacteria. The record is from RNAcentral.